Molecule: ribosomal RNA, 1527 nt
Filed under: Pyramidobacter sp. CG50-2
Lineage: Bacteria; Thermotogati; Synergistota; Synergistia; Synergistales; Dethiosulfovibrionaceae
Description: bacterial SSU rRNA
Rfam family: Bacterial small subunit ribosomal RNA
Source: RNAcentral
UCAACGGAGAGUUUGAUCCUGGCUCAGGACGAACGCUGGCGGCGUGCUUAACACAUGCAAGUUGAGCGAGGAUGAUUUGAGGAGACAUAUGUUGAAUUGAAUCGUUCGAGCAGCGGACGGGUGAGUAAAGCACAAGGACUUGUCCGAAAGAGAGGGACACCUUCGGGAAACCGGAGCUAAUACCUCAUAAGCCGGAAGGUGAAAAGCAGAGAUGCGCUUUUGGAGAGACUUGUGUCCUAUCAGGCAGUUGGUGAGGUGAAAGCUCACCAAACCGAAGACGGGUAGCCGGACUGAGAGGUCGACCGGCCACAUUGGAACUGAGAGACGGUCCAGACUCCUACGGGAGGCAGCAGUGGGGAAUAUUGGGCAAUGGGCGGAAGCCUGACCCAGCGACGCCGCGUGAGGGAAGACAGCCUUCGGGUUGUAAACCUCUGUUGCAGGGGAAGAAGGAAGUGACGGUACCCUGCGAGGAAGCUCCGGCUAACUACGUGCCAGCAGCCGCGGUAAUACGUAGGGAGCGAGCGUUGUCCGGAAUUACUGGGCGUAAAGGGCGCGUAGGCGGCGCUUCAAGUCGUCUGUCAAAUGGAAGGGCUUAACCCUUUUUCGCAGACGAAACUGGAGAGCUUGAGAAGCAGAGAGGCAAACAGAAUUCCUGGUGUAGCGGUGAAAUGCGUAGAUAUCAGGAAGAAUACCAGUGGCGAAGGCGGUUUGCUGGCUGCAUACUGACGCUGAAGCGCGAAAGCCAGGGGAGCGAACGGGAUUAGAUACCCCGGUAGUCCUGGCAGUAAACGAUGUAUGCUGGGUGUGAGACUAGCGAUAGUUUCGUGCCGAAGUUAACGCGAUAAGCAUACCGCCUGGGGAGUACGGUCGCAAGAUUGAAACUCAAAGGAAUUGACGGGGGCCCGCACAAGCGGUGGAGCACGUGGUUUAAUUCGAUGCAAACCGAAGAACCUUACCUGGACUUGACAUACACGCGGUAGAGAAGCGAAAGCGGAUCGACCCCUCCGCAAGGAAGGGAACGUGAACAGGUGCUGCAUGGCUGUCGUCAGCUCGUGUCGUGAGAUGUUGGGUUAAGUCCCGCAACGAGCGCAACCCCUAUUGCCAGUUGCUACCAGGUAAAGCUGAGCACUCCGGCGAGACUGCCAUCGACAAGAUGGAGGAAGGUGGGGACGACGUCAAGUCAUCAUGGCCCAUAUGUCCAGGGCGACACACAUGCUACAAUGGAUGGUACAGAGAGAAGCGAGACCGGAAGGUGAAGCAGAUCCCAGAAAGCCAUCCCCAGUUCGGAUUGCAGUCUGCAACUCGACUGCAUGAAGUUGGAAUCGCUAGUAAUCGCGGAUCAGCCAAGCCGCGGUGAAUACGUUCCCGGGCCUUGUACACACCGCCCGUCACACCAUCCGAGUCGGGUGCUCUCCAAGCCGGAGGCCUAACCGCAAGGAAGGAUCCGCCUAAAGAGUGUCCGGUGAGGAGGGUGAAGUCGUAACAAGGUAGCCGUACGGGAACGUGCGGCUGGAUCACCUCCUUUCU